GCGUGUGGGUUCUAUUACUUUAUGCUAGCAGUGUGAUUAUUACCCUUUUGAUUCCUAUUACCCUAUGCUUUAUCUUUCAGCUAAGUGAACUCGUGACCCUACCAGCACUUUUCAAGAUACUUUCGACGUAUUCAUUGCGGUGAACAACGCGGUUGGGACAGCACACUCACGACGUGGGAAGGUCACAGAAAUGUUGAAAGACAUCAGAUUGGGCAUACGCUUCACCCGUGCAACUUCGUCAUGUGCUCCACGGCAGCACAAGCCUUUACGGCUGUGCCACUAUGUGUGGAAACGUCGUAGCGGAUGAAUGUGAAUUAUGGA
Long non-coding RNA from Ornithodoros turicata, 321 nucleotides. RefSeq lists it as uncharacterized. The record is from RefSeq and is a predicted model, not a curated record. NCBI's taxonomy places the organism in Eukaryota, Metazoa, Arthropoda, Arachnida, Ixodida, Argasidae. The transcript is spliced from 4 exons.